AUGGUUCUUGUCUGUGGACCAGCAAUCCAUCAACUUGAGAGCCACGAUGCAGAGAAAGACGAUGGCCACCAACACCGCAGAGUAGACGAUGGAGAUCUUGUCCCGGCAGGUUCCGGCGCCGUAGGCGCCCACGAGGCUAAGGAGGUCCAGAAUCAUGAAGCCCCGCAGCGGCAGGACGACCCCGAUGGCGUCAUUCUUCUUCUUCUCCUUCUCCUUGUCGUGCCGGAUGGCGAGGACAAGGAUGAGGACGAUGACCACGAGCGAGGCGGCGAAGGCGGUGGCGUUGCAGUAGAAGAAGGCGAGGUAGCGGCGGUAGUUGGUUUGGCGGAUGAUGGGGUCGCCGGCGAGUUGGCCGUCGUGGGUGACCUGCCAGACGCCGCCCGGCGGGUUGAAGCCGGCGGCGUAGGUGACGGUGACCACCAGGGUGGACAGCAGCAGGAGGUACUUCCGCAGGCUGUACUCCCAUGGCUGCUGGCACUGCCCCUGCCGCUGCCCGGACGCCGUUGCCUGCCGGUCGGACUCAUCCGUGUGCAUUGCCGGCUGGACUGCAGUGGCGGCGGCGAUUCCACUCUCUCAAAUCUCAAGCUCUCAGCAAGUGUAGCUCUUUCUUACUACUGUGAUGCAGAGAUCAUGUGGGACGAUGGGAAAGAGAGGGAGAGUUGCGUGGUAAUAAGACGACUUGACUCGGCGCGUCGUCCGGAGGGAAGGUGCCGAGUCCGUGCGCUCUGCGCCUAUGCAUAUUCAAAUCCUGACGGAGCGCCACUAUUUUACUGCCACUGCUCUAUAUUUUUACAGCAACUCGGGCGCGUGUAA
This 813-nucleotide ribosomal RNA is filed under the name Triticum aestivum (bread wheat). Its description in RNAcentral is "partial small subunit ribosomal RNA". Lineage: Eukaryota; Viridiplantae; Streptophyta; Magnoliopsida; Poales; Poaceae. The record is from RNAcentral.